UCCGGCUUGACGCCGGCAGUCCCCCGACAGCCAUGCAGCACCUGUCACUGGUCCAGCCGAACUGAAGGGGUGAGUCUCCUCUCCCCGCGACCGGGAUGUCAAGGGCUGGUAAGGUUCUGCGCGUUGCUUCGAAUUGAACCACAUGCUCCACCGCUUGUGCGGGCCCCCGUCAAUUCCUUUGAGUUUUAAUCUUGCGACCGUACUCCCCAGGCGGGAUGCUUAAUGCGUUAGCUGCGCCACUGACGGGUAAACCCGCCAACGGCUAGCAUCCAUCGUUUACAGCGUGGACUAC
RNAcentral lists this unclassified non-coding RNA (292 nucleotides) under uncultured Alphaproteobacteria bacterium. Its description in RNAcentral is "contains 16S-23S intergenic spacer region". Lineage: Bacteria; Pseudomonadati; Pseudomonadota; Alphaproteobacteria. The record is from RNAcentral.